UACGUAGGGUCCAAGCGUUAAUCGGAAUUACUGGGCGUAAAGCGUCCGCAGGUGGUUCGUUAAGCACGAUGUGAAAUCCCUGGGCUCAACCUAGGAAUUGCAUAGUGAACUGGCGAACUAGAGUAUGGCAGAGGGGGGUGGAAUUCCACGUGUAGCAGUGAAAUGCGUAGAGAUGUGGAGGAACACCAAUGGCGAAGGCAACCCCCUGGGCUAAUACUGACACUCAUGGACGAAAGCGUGGGGAGCAAACAGG
Molecule: ribosomal RNA, 253 nt
Filed under: uncultured bacterium
Lineage: Bacteria
Description: partial 16S ribosomal RNA
Rfam family: Bacterial small subunit ribosomal RNA
Source: RNAcentral